GUGGCUGUGGCUCAGUGGUAGAGGGCUUGCCUGGCAGGUAAGAGGUACUAGGUUCAAUUCUCAGCACCAUU
This 71-nucleotide transfer RNA is filed under the name Ictidomys tridecemlineatus (thirteen-lined ground squirrel). RNAcentral describes it as "Spermophilus tridecemlineatus (thirteen-lined ground squirrel) tRNA". It matches the Rfam family "tRNA". From Rfam's summary of the family: Transfer RNA (tRNA) molecules are approximately 80 nucleotides in length. Their secondary structure includes four short double-helical elements and three loops (D, anti-codon, and T loops). The record is from Rfam by way of RNAcentral. Lineage: Eukaryota; Metazoa; Chordata; Mammalia; Rodentia; Sciuridae. RNAcentral also lists the same sequence under 1 other name.